This 254-nucleotide ribosomal RNA is filed under the name uncultured bacterium. Its description in RNAcentral is "partial 16S ribosomal RNA". It matches the Rfam family "Bacterial small subunit ribosomal RNA", at positions 524 to 776 of the family's 1533-position model. The record is from RNAcentral.
UACGUAGGGGGCAAGCGUUAUCCGGAAUUACUGGGUGUAAAGGGAGCGUAGACGGUAAUGUAAGUCUGGAGUGAAAGGCGGGGGCCCAACCCCCCGGACUGCUCUGGAAACUAUGUUACUAGAGUGCAGGAGAGGUAAGCGGAAUUCCUAGUGUAGCGGUGAAAUGCGUAGAUAUUAGGAGGAACACCAGUGGCGAAGGCGGCUUACUGGACUGUAACUGACGUUGAGGCUCGAAAGCGUGGGGAGCAAACAGG